GAUGAACGCUAGCGGCAGGCUUAAUACAUGCAAGUCGUGGGGCAGCAGGACUGUAGCAAUACAGUUGCUGGCGACCGGCAAACGGGUGCGGAACACGUACGCAACUUACCCUGAACUGGGGGAUAGCCCGGGGAAACCCGGAUUAAUACCCCGUAAUAUAAUGGAGUGGCAUCACUUUAUUAUUAAAGCUCCGGCGGUUCGGGAUGGGCGUGCGGCUGAUUAGGUAGUUGGUUGAGGUAACGGCUCACCAAGCCUACGAUCAGUAACUGGUGUGAGAGCACGACCAGUCACACGGGCACUGCGACACGGGCCCGACUCCUACGGGGGGCAGCAGUAAGGAAGAUUGGGCAGUGGAGGCUACUCUGACCCAGCCAUGCCGCGUGGAGGAUGAAGGCCCUCUGGGUUGUAAACUUCUUUUAUAGGAGACGAAACCGGUGUAUUCUUACGCAGUUGACGGUACCCUAGGAAUAAGCACCGGCUAACUCCGUG
RNAcentral lists this ribosomal RNA (489 nucleotides) under uncultured bacterium. RNAcentral describes it as "partial 16S ribosomal RNA". It matches the Rfam family "Bacterial small subunit ribosomal RNA", at positions 28 to 507 of the family's 1533-position model. The record is from RNAcentral.